UACGUAGGGGGCGAGCGUUGUCCGAAUUCACUGGGCGUAAAGCGCGCGUAGGCGGGCUUUUAAGUUGUGGGUGAAAUCCCGAGGCUUAACCUCGGAGCUGCCUGCAAAACUGGAAGCCUUGAGGUUUGGAGAGGGAAGUGGAAUUCCAGGUGUAGCGGUGAAAUGCGUAGAUAUCUGGAGGAACACCCGUGGCGAAGGCGGCUUCCUGGCCAUAUCCUGACGCUGAGGUGCGAAAGCUAGGGGAGCGAACGGGAUUAGAUACCCUUGUAGUCC
RNAcentral lists this ribosomal RNA (273 nucleotides) under uncultured prokaryote. RNAcentral describes it as "partial 16S ribosomal RNA". It matches the Rfam family "Bacterial small subunit ribosomal RNA", at positions 524 to 796 of the family's 1533-position model. The record is from RNAcentral.